UCUAAGGAAUGUGGGAUGGUCUUCAGUCA
This 29-nucleotide non-coding RNA is filed under the name Homo sapiens (human). The record is from RNAcentral. Lineage: Eukaryota; Metazoa; Chordata; Mammalia; Primates; Hominidae.